UAUUAGUACUACACAUCACGAGUGACAGGAGACGUGGCCUGUUUUGGUCCAUGGCCUGUGUCGGCACCACUUGGAGCAUUCUGGUUAAAAAGGGGAUCGACCAGAGGACACAUCAGGUACGACACCAAAUGCCUCCACUCCCAAAUCACCAGUGCUUGGCCCUGCUCCUUGCCGGUGCCCACGGCCGGCUCCUUCAGCGGCGGCGCGGCCCCUCCGCAGAGGAGGAGGGGAGUUGGGGGGCGGCCUCAUGGGGGCGGAGAUCCGCGACACGGCCGGUGAGGCCGAGUGCCUCGGGCGACCAAGUGCCGGCGUGGGUUCCAGCGGGGCGAACAGCCAUGGCUGAUGCAAAGCGGCGGAGGAGCACACGGGCUUCCGGCGAGGGCGUCGGGAGUGCGGACGGCGGCGCUGCUUCCUGGUGCUUCUCCUCCACUUCCAGCGUCGGGAGGUUGAGGUCGCGGCGCGCUGGGAGAGCGAGCGUCGCCGCAGCGGCCUCGAUCUCCUCCGUCUUCACCUUCGGCAGGAGGUUGAUGACGAGUCGGGGCUUGGGCGCGUCCAGAGGGACUGCAGCCGGCGGCGAGGAGAACUCCGGCAAUGGAUCGUAGCCCGGCCGGGACGCUUCCAGCUCACACACAACUCCAAAAGCGCCCAGAACGAGCGGUGCGCGGUGCGGCGACAGACUGGAAGUUGGGCGUCAUCAUGAGUGACGCCGAUUCCGUCGAUAUCGAGUCUUCAAAAUACUUCUUUCGUUCCUAAAUAUUUGUCUUUCUAGAGAUUUCAUUAAUUAAUUGAUAACCGUUUUAAAAUCUUUCA
Molecule: long non-coding RNA, 810 nt
Organism: Triticum aestivum (bread wheat)
Lineage: Eukaryota; Viridiplantae; Streptophyta; Magnoliopsida; Poales; Poaceae
Exons: 2
Source: RefSeq, a predicted model, not a curated record